This 439-nucleotide ribosomal RNA is filed under the name uncultured bacterium. RNAcentral describes it as "partial 16S ribosomal RNA". It matches the Rfam family "Bacterial small subunit ribosomal RNA", at positions 339 to 795 of the family's 1533-position model. The record is from RNAcentral.
CUACGGGAUGCACCAGUGAGGAAUAUUGCACAAUGGAGGAAACUCUGAUGCAGCAACGCCGCGUGGAGGAUGACGCAUUUCGGUGUGUAAACUCCUUUUAUAUGUCAAGAAAAUGACGGUAGCAUAUGAAUAAGCUCCGGCUAACUCCGUGCCAGCAGCCGCGGUAAUACGGAGGGAGCAAGCGUUACUCGGAAUCACUGGGCGUAAAGGACGCGUAGGCGGGAUAGAAAGUCAGGUGUGAAAUCCUAUGGCUCAACCAUAGAACUGCACUUGAAACUUCUAACCUAGAGUAUGGGAGGGGAAGAUGGAAUUAGUGGUGUAGGGGUAAAAUCCGUAGAUAUCACUAGGAAUACCAAAAGCGAAGGCGAUCUUCUGGAACAAUACUGACGCUAAGGCGUGAAAGCGUGGGGAGCAAACAGGAUUAGAUACCCUGGUAGUC